Long non-coding RNA from Lingula anatina, 1340 nucleotides. The record is from RefSeq and is a predicted model, not a curated record. NCBI's taxonomy places the organism in Eukaryota, Metazoa, Brachiopoda, Lingulata, Lingulida, Lingulidae.
AUAAAAUUACCCACAAAUUCAGGAUCCCCGACAAUAAGCCCACAUCGAAUUCGUGCUGACGCAUACAUACAAACUGACUACGAUUACGUAAAAGACGAGAACGAAUCCUUAAAAAAGGAAAAACGGUGCAAAAUAUGCUUCGAUGCAGACUGCGAAGGGGUUUUUAUACCUUGUUUCCACAUGGUAGCGUGUGAGUCUUGCGGGUUAAAAUUGAAGAAAUGUCCCUUAUGCAGAAUAGGAGUGAAAUGGAAGAAAGUUCAUUUGUAACAUGCAUCGAGAGAUCCCAUUAGCGAGACUAGUCAUCGAAAACGAAUCCACCCUGGAUGUCUGUUCCUCCAAGUAUAGACCAAACUUUGAGUGGAAUCCUGAUGCCAUAUCUAUGACGUUAUCACAGCACGUCACGUGGUCAUUCAAGAAAGAUAGGUUUAAACAAUUCCAUAUUAAAGUACAUGAUAAUGGUCUCCUUGGAGGACCGUUUAAUUACUGGCCUUGCCCGAUGAGGUGGCAGAAUCUCCAACACGUCGCCGUCACACUUCAGCUUCAAAGGGGUUCAUACACACCUUAUUAGGUAGCCAUCAAAUCGCUCCAGAUCUGAGUAGUUGACAGUUUUUUUAGAGUGAAGACCCUCAGAGGAGCCGUUUCCUCCAUUCUCAUGUCUGGCAAUCAGUUGCGGCCCAAAAGGAAAUCCUCACCUUCAUGUGAAUAAGAUGAAAAGAGGCAGGAGUGCCAAAUUCCAAGUGUGUCCACACAAUGUCACGAAAACCACAUCACCAUUAACAAAAUAACUGAAGCUACAUGUAAUGGGACCUUGAUCCUAAGGAGUCCCAGCCUAAUGUCCCCUGGAGCCAGCCCAAUGUCAGCAGCAAAGAGCAGAGAGAAACACUUGUAUUGAAAUACUGUUUGUCCGCCAUUCCCCUAGGAAUGCGGACACUAAGUAAUGCGGAUAUAAAGCCCAGGAAAUGCGUGUCCUGAAUCCCCCGUUCCUAGGAAAGCGUGCCAUGGGCAUUUUUCAUGGGACUAGAAGUCCCGCAGUCACCCGUUACUUAGUAUUCUAAGUCCCGCAGUUACCCGUUACUUAGUAUUCUUAGUCCUGCUGACCAGAAUCAUUCUCCUUGUACGACAUAAACUAGCAAUUGAUUUUUUCGGACGUUGUUUUGUUUGUAUAACAGUGGUAACGAAUAUGCAGUUUAAUAAUUUAAGCAUGAUAUUUUGCUAUUGUUAUGAUAGAAUAAGAAGAUACCUUGUAACCUUUUGUACAUGUACACGUGUACGGUUUCAAUAAAAUCUGAUGGGUUAUUCAUCUUAUUUCUAUCAUUCUUUUCAAAAAAUUCGUGAAUGAG